GGCCGGUGAUGCUAGAAGAUAUUUGCUACUCUUGAUGGGAAUUACCCAUUUGAUGAUCCUUUUCCACCAAGAUCUCUGAGGCC
Cajanus cajan (pigeon pea) is the source of this 83-nucleotide non-coding RNA. The record is from Rfam. NCBI's taxonomy places the organism in Eukaryota, Viridiplantae, Streptophyta, Magnoliopsida, Fabales, Fabaceae.